This 1447-nucleotide ribosomal RNA is filed under the name metagenome. Its description in RNAcentral is "bacterial LSU rRNA". It matches the Rfam family "Bacterial large subunit ribosomal RNA", at positions 1460 to 2925 of the family's 2925-position model. The record is from RNAcentral.
AGAACUGUGGGGACACGUAAGGAGAGCGGGAGCCGGGAAUGGAAAGCCCGGUACAAGCGAGGUACCAGUAUGGUAGGAAAAUCCGCCAUGCAAUGGGAAGACGUGAUGUGGAGUGAAAUAUAGUAACGAAGCCCGUGAGCCAUGCGUCAAGAAAAGCCGCUAUUGUUUAUAUUGUACCCGUACCGUAAACUGACACAGGUGGAUGAGGAGAGAAUCCUAAGGCCGGCGGAAGAAGUAUUGCCAAGGAACUCGGCAAAAUGGCCCCGUAACUUAGGGAGAAGGGGUGCCUGCGAGAGCAGGCCGCAGAGAAUAGGCUCAAGCAACUGUUUAGCAAAAACACAGGUCUAUGCGAAACCGAAAGGUGAGGUAUAUGGGCUGACGCCUGCCCGGUGCUGGAAGGUUAAGAGGAGAGGUUAGACGCAAGUCGAAGCUUUGAAUUUAAGCCCCAGUAAACGGCGGCCGUAACUAUAACGGUCCUAAGGUAGCGAAAUUCCUUGUCGGGUAAGUUCCGACCCGCACGAAAGGCGUAAUGAUUUGAGCGCUGUCUCGGCAAUACAUCCGGUGAAAUUGAAGUGCCAGUGAAGAUGCUGGCUACCCGCGCCAGGACGGAAAGACCCCAUGGAGCUUUACUCCAGUUUGGCACUGGGGUCCGGUGUUGCAUGUACAGGAUAGGUGGGAGGCUGAGAGAUAGUGACGUCAGUCGCUAUGGAGCCGCUGUUGGGAUACCACCCUUGUGAUAUUGGGCUUCUAACCAGCCGCCGUGAACCGGCGGUGGGACAAUGCCAGGCGGGGAGUUUGACUGGGGCGGUCGCCUCCGAAAGGGUAUCGGAGGCGCCCAAAGGUUCCCUCAGAAUGGACGGAAACCAUUCGAAGAGUGCAAAGGCAGAAGGGAGCUUGACUGCGACACCGACGGGUGGAGCAGGUACGAAAGUAGGGCUUAGUGAUCCGGUGGUAUUAAGUGGGAAUGCCAUCGCUCAACGGAUAAAAGCUACCCUGGGAUAACAGGCUUAUCACUCCCAAGAGUUCACAUCGACGGAGUGGUUUGGCACCUCGAUGUCGGCUCAUCGCAUCCUGGGGCUGUAGUAGGUCCCAAGGGUUGGGCUGUUCGCCCAUUAAAGCGGUACGCGAGCUGGGUUCAGAACGUCGUGAGACAGUUCGGUCCCUAUCCGGCGUGGGCGCAGGAUAUCUGAGAGGAGCUGUCCUUAGUACGAGAGGACCGGGAUGGACGGACCGCUGGUGGACCGGUUGGCUUGCCAAAGCCAUGGCCGGGUAGCCAAGUCCGGAAGGGAUAAACGCUGAAGGCAUCUAAGCGUGAAGCCCCCCUCAAGAUGAGAUAUCCCAUUCUUUAAGAAGUAAACCCCCUUGAAGACGACGAGGUAGAUAGGGCAGAGGUGGAAGUGUGGUAACACAUGGAGCUGACUGUUACUAAUCGGGUGAGGGCUUGACC